GCGACCCCAGGUCAGGCGGGAUUACCCGCUGAA
This 33-nucleotide ribosomal RNA is filed under the name Phalaris arundinacea. RNAcentral describes it as "partial 26S ribosomal RNA". RNAcentral also lists the same sequence under 1 other name. The record is from RNAcentral. Lineage: Eukaryota; Viridiplantae; Streptophyta; Magnoliopsida; Poales; Poaceae.